UACGGAGGAUCCAAGCGUUAUCCGGAAUCAUUGGGUUUAAAGGGUCCGUAGGCGGGAUAAUCAGUCAGCGGUGAAAGUCUGUGGCUCAACCAUAGAAUUGCCAUUGAUACUGUUGUUCUUGAAUACUUAUGAAGUGGUUGGAAUAUGUAGUGUAGCGGUGAAAUGCAUAGAUAUUACAUAGAACACCGAUUGCGAAGGCAGAUCACUAAUAAGUCAUUGACGCUGAUGGACGAAAGCGUAGGUAGCGAACAGG
RNAcentral lists this ribosomal RNA (253 nucleotides) under uncultured bacterium. RNAcentral's name for it is "partial 16S ribosomal RNA". It matches the Rfam family "Bacterial small subunit ribosomal RNA", at positions 524 to 776 of the family's 1533-position model. The record is from RNAcentral.